CAUUACCGAGUUUACAACUCCCAAACCCCUGUGAACAUACCACUUGUUGCCUCGGCGGAUCAGCCCGCUCCCGGUAAAACGGGACGGCCCGCCAGAGGACCCCUAAACUCUGUUUCUAUAUGUAACUUCUGAGUAAAACCAUAAAUAAAUCAAAACUUUCAACAACGGAUCUCUUGGUUCUGGCAUCGAUGAAGAACGCAGCAAAAUGCGAUAAGUAAUGUGAAUUGCAGAAUUCAGUGAAUCAUCGAAUCUUUGAACGCACAUUGCGCCCGCCAGUAUUCUGGCGGGCAUGCCUGUUCGAGCGUCAUUUCAACCCUCAAGCACAGCUUGGUGUUGGGACUCGCGUUAAUUCGCGUUCCUCAAAUUGAUUGGCGGUCACGUCGAGCUUCCAUAGCGUAGUAGUAAAACCCUCGUUACUGGUAAUCGUCGCGGCCACGCCGUUAAACCCCAACUUCUGAAUGUUGACCUCGGAUCAGGUAGGAAUACCCGCUGAACUUAAGCAUAUCAAUAAGCGGAGGAAAAGAAACCAACAGGGAUUGCCCUAGUAACGGCGAGUGAAGCGGCAACAGCUCAAAUUUGAAAUCUGGCUCUCGGGCCCGAGUUGUAAUUUGUAGAGGAUACUUUUGAUGCGGUGCCUUCCGAGUUCCCUGGAACGGGACGCCAUAGAGGGUGAGAGCCCCGUCUGGUUGGAUGCCAAAUCUCUGUAAAGUUCCUUCAACGAGUCGAGUAGUUUGGGAAUGCUGCUCUAAAUGGGAGGUAUAUGUCUUCUAAAGCUAAAUACCGGCCAGAGACCGAUAGCGCACAAGUAGAGUGAUCGAAAGAUGAAAAGCACUUUGAAAAGAGAGUUAAAAAGUACGUGAAAUUGUUGAAAGGGAAGCGUUUAUGACCAGACUUGGGCUUGGUUAAUCAUCUGGGGUUCUCCCCAGUGCACUUUUCCAGUCCAGGCCAGCAUCAGUUUUCCCCGGGGGAUAAAGGCGGCGGGAAUGUGGCUCUCUUCGGGGAGUGUUAUAGCCCACCGUGUAAUACCCUGGGGGGGACUG
RNAcentral lists this ribosomal RNA (1040 nucleotides) under Fusarium sp. 201k. RNAcentral's name for it is "eukaryotic LSU rRNA". The stretch from base 463 to 1040 matches the Rfam family "Eukaryotic large subunit ribosomal RNA", at positions 1 to 590 of the family's 3401-position model. The record is from RNAcentral. Lineage: Eukaryota; Fungi; Ascomycota; Sordariomycetes; Hypocreales; Nectriaceae.